RNAcentral lists this ribosomal RNA (492 nucleotides) under uncultured bacterium. Its description in RNAcentral is "partial 16S ribosomal RNA". It matches the Rfam family "Bacterial small subunit ribosomal RNA", at positions 29 to 507 of the family's 1533-position model. The record is from RNAcentral.
AGUGAACGCUGGCGGUAGGCCUAACACAUGCAAGUCGAACGGCAGCACAGUAAGAGCUUGCUCUUACGGGUGGCGAGUGGCGGACGGGUGAGGAAUACAUCGGAAUCUACUUUUUCGCGGGGGGUAACGUAGGGAAACUUACGCUAAUACCGCAUACGACCUACGGGUGAAAGCAGGGGAUCUUCGGACCUUGCGCGAUUGAAUGAGCCGAUGUCGGAUUAGCUAGUUGGCGGGGUAAAGGCCCACCAAGGCGACGAUCCGUAGCUGGUCUGAGAGGAUGAUCAGCCACACUGGAACUGAGACACGGUCCAGACUCCUACGGGAGGCAGCAGUGGGGAAUAUUGGACAAUGGGCGCAAGCCUGAUCCAGCCAUACCGCGUGGGUGAAGAAGGCCUUCGGGUUGUAAAGCCCUUUUGUUGGGAAAGAAAAGCAGCAGGUUAAUACCCCGCUGUUCUGACGGUACCCAAAGAAUAAGCACCGGCUAACUUCGUG